GUGUUUUCCUAAAUCUACCCUUUUCCCAAAUCUCUUCCCGUGACCAAGAGAUUUCAAAGAUAAUGAUUACAAGAUGAAAGAGAUGAGUUCUAAUCCCUAGAUAAUACCCAAGAGAAACACACUCUUCUUAUCUAGCCUUGAUGAUGAUGAAGAACCCUAGAAAUUCACUUUUUUCUCUCUCUUUCUCAUGCUGGCGGCUGGUUGCAGAAAAACAGAGUAUAUAAGUACCUGCGGUCACGCCGCGCGUGAAGAACACCACGCUGCGCGUGACCGGCACCAGAGGCUACUCCAAACCCAUUCCCGCAAUUACGCCGCGCGUGAGGGAAGCUACGCCGCGCGUGAUUGCAACAGAGCCUGCCCCAACCUCAUCCUGCAGUAACGCCGCGCGCCAACAUGCCACGCCCCCGGCGUGGUACAAACCUCCAAGUUCAUCAAUACAUCAUUUCUCAAGGCAAAUCUUCACA
Molecule: long non-coding RNA, 464 nt
Filed under: Trifolium pratense (red clover)
Lineage: Eukaryota; Viridiplantae; Streptophyta; Magnoliopsida; Fabales; Fabaceae
Description: long non-coding RNA (TPRA_LNC007506)
Source: RNAcentral